UACGUAGGGGGCGAGCGUUGUCCGGAAUCAUUGGGCGUAAAGAGCGUGUAGGCGGCUUGGCAAGUCUGCCGUGAAAACCCGAGGCUUAACCUCGUGGCUUGCGGUGGAUACGGGCAGACUAGAGGUAGGUAGGGGAGAACGGAAUUCCCGGUGUAGCGGUGAAAUGCGCAGAUAUCGGGAGGAACACCGGUGGCGAAGGCGGUUCUCUGGGCCUUACCUGACGCUGAGGAGCGAAAGCAUGGGGAGCGAACAGG
This 254-nucleotide ribosomal RNA is filed under the name uncultured bacterium. Its description in RNAcentral is "partial 16S ribosomal RNA". It matches the Rfam family "Bacterial small subunit ribosomal RNA", at positions 524 to 776 of the family's 1533-position model. The record is from RNAcentral.